Molecule: transfer RNA, 76 nt
Filed under: Actomonas lomoniglobus
Lineage: Bacteria; Pseudomonadati; Verrucomicrobiota; Opitutia; Opitutales; Opitutaceae
Description: Opitutaceae bacterium LMO-M01 tRNA-Ala
Rfam family: tRNA
About the family: Transfer RNA (tRNA) molecules are approximately 80 nucleotides in length.
Source: RNAcentral
GGGGACUUAGCUCAUUCAGCAGAGCGGCUGUUUUGCACGCAGCAGGCGGCGGGGGCAGAGCCCGCAGUCUCCACCA